RNAcentral lists this long non-coding RNA (1946 nucleotides) under Nicotiana tabacum (common tobacco). RNAcentral's name for it is "long non-coding RNA (NTAB_LNC000294)". Lineage: Eukaryota; Viridiplantae; Streptophyta; Magnoliopsida; Solanales; Solanaceae. The record is from RNAcentral.
GCUAAGUAAUCCAUUGGCGAAAAGCUACCAAAGCCCCCUUGGCCUUUGAAGAGGAGAGGGCAGAGAAGAAAACAUCCUUCGGUUGAUGGUCGGGAUCGUGGAACUAUUGCUCGAGAAGUAAGAAGCUAAUCCUUGUUUGGACUUUGUUCCUAGGGGUCGAACCCAAAAAGGGGACAGAUUUCUUCCAUCUCACUAUAUUCUUGGCUAAGAAUAUGUUAUCUUUCUUUUUCCGUAAUAGAAAAAUUAUUUACAAGCAUUAACACAAGUGACCAAAUUACAAUGUUGAAACAAACCAACAACAACAAUAAUAAAUUCAGUAUAAUCUCAUAGAUAGAGUCUAGGAAAAUUAUGUGUACGGAGACCUUACCCUUACCUGAAGAGGUGGAGAAACUGUUUUCAACAACAACAACAAUGUUGAAACAAACCGACACAGCAUUAACACAAGUGACCAAAUUACAAGGUUGGAAUUGCACCAUAAUAGCAUUCAGUACCAGCAUUCACUACCCAUCUUUGUCUCAUUUACUACACCUUCUACUUCAUACCACGUGUCUGGGGCGGAGCUAGUAUAUAAGAUACAGACUUAGUCGAAUUCAGUAGCUUUGAUUCAAAUUUCAUACUCCCUUCGAUCCAUAAUAAAUGACCUUUUGACCUUUGGCAUAUCCUUUAAUAAAAUAGUAACUCCUAAAAAAAUAGGUAUUUUGACAAAAUUACCCAUAAUUAAAAUUUGCAUAUUGUUAACUUGAUACAUUGGAAUAUGUAAAUAAGGGUAGAUCUUGAAAAAACAAAGUUAAUUCCUUCUUGUUAUAUAAAAAGUCACUUAAUAAAAAGGUAAAAAAAAUUAUUAAUUAUGGACCGGAGGGAGUACUUAUCUUUAAAAAAUUUAUUUAGUAUGUAUAAAUUAUUAAUUUAAAAUUUAAUAAUUUAAAAUUAUUAAUUUCACACUUAUAAGUUUCAAUUUCUAGCUCCGCCUUUACCACAGGCUACCCCAAAACAAACCAAAACAUAAAUUAAAAUGGACAACAUUCACUAUCCAUCUUUGUCAGCCAACCACCAUAAUUUUUCACAAACACCUACCAAAAUUUUACUGCUACAGAGAAAAAUAGGACAAUGAUUUCAGACUUCAAAAUAUAUGUAUUUGUUUGUGACACAAUGAUUUACAGAUCUUAUACUUAUACUGGGGCUAAUAUGAUAUGAUGCCCACCUGUUACCAGAGGCGGAGUCAGGAUUUCGAGCUUAUGGGUUCGGGAUUCUAAUCGUUAAAAGUUACUGGGUUCUAAAUUAAUCAUUUAUAUAUAUUUAAUGAUUUUUAAGACAAAAUACACGAUUCAAAUCAAAGUUACUGGGUUCAGCCGAACCUGGUCCCAACACUCUACCUCCGCCACUGCCUGUUACUGAAAUUGUUAUUUGAAUGCCAUUUAUAGGAUGUAUUAAUUAUGAGACCAAUUUACAUUUUCUAUUAUUGAAAAGGACAUGUUUAUGAUAUUUUCUAAAUGUUAUGCUAACAUGUUUUCUGACUUGUCCUACAUUAAAAUGGCUGGUAGAUUAAUGUUAAUUUAUUCAUUGAGAUAGCAGUGGACACAGACGAGGACCUUCCUAAGUAGAGUGUACAAGUUGAUAUUUUUGGUGUGCCUCGCAUUGGUCGUGUUGGCUGAGUGGUUAUUAUCUCCCUUUCAUUUAAACUCUUAGAGUUGCUCCAUUAGACCACUUUUAUUACUUCUAAAGUCAUUAUAGGAUUUAUAGCUAAGUCAAAUUAGCUUGUUUGUAUUUUUUAUGUUGGACCUAGUAUUGUAGUGUUACAAAUAGAUGGUGUGACUUGUUUUGUUGGGUACUCACUUUUUAAAUUUUUAAUGUGAUUUUAGCUGAGACAAGAAAUGUUGGAUAGCCCUGGAUAGCAAACAAAAAUACUCAAUUAGUUGUACUUUGUUUAGCUUCAUCCAUUUGAAAAC